Small nuclear RNA from Dioscorea cayenensis subsp. rotundata (Guinea yam), 162 nucleotides. RefSeq annotates it as U1 spliceosomal RNA. The record is from RefSeq and is a predicted model, not a curated record. NCBI's taxonomy places the organism in Eukaryota, Viridiplantae, Streptophyta, Magnoliopsida, Dioscoreales, Dioscoreaceae. The transcript has a single exon.
AUACUUACCUGGACGAGGUCAACGGUAGAUCAUCAAGGUCCGUGGCCUAGGCUAGUGGCCCCAAUUGCACUUGAGGGGGUGCGCUGGCUUACCAUCUGUCCACGUGGCAGAGUGGACGUCAUAAUUUGUGGUAUAGGGGGUACGCGCACGCGCGGCCCCUGC